This 468-nucleotide ribosomal RNA is filed under the name uncultured bacterium. RNAcentral describes it as "partial 16S ribosomal RNA". It matches the Rfam family "Bacterial small subunit ribosomal RNA", at positions 28 to 507 of the family's 1533-position model. The record is from RNAcentral.
GACGAACGCUGGCGGCGUGCUUAACACAUGCAAGUCGAACGGAAAGGCCCUGCUUUUGUGGGGUGCUCGAGUGGCGAACGGGUGAGUAACACGUGAGUAACCUGCCCUUGACUUUGGGAUAACUUCAGGAAACUGGGGCUAAUACCGGAUAGGAGCUCCUGCUGCAUGGUGGGGGUUGGAAAGUUUCGGCGGUUGGGGAUGGACUCGCGGCUUAUCAGCUUGUUGGUGGGGUAGUUGCUUACCAAGGCUUUGACGGGUAGCCGGCCUGAGAGGGUGACCGGCCACAUUGGGACUGAGAUACGGAGCAGACUCGAACGGGAGGCAGCAGUGGGGAAUAUUGCGCAGUAGGCGGAAGCCUGAUGCAGCAACGCCGCGUGCGGGAUGACGGCCUUCGGGUUGUAAACCGCUUUCGCCUGUGACGAAGCGUGAGUGACGGUAAUGGGUAAAGAAGCACCGGCUAACUACGUG